Bactrocera tryoni is the source of this 325-nucleotide long non-coding RNA. RefSeq lists it as uncharacterized. The transcript is spliced from 2 exons. NCBI's taxonomy places the organism in Eukaryota, Metazoa, Arthropoda, Insecta, Diptera, Tephritidae. The record is from RefSeq and is a predicted model, not a curated record.
UUCCGUAAACAACACAAAUUUGAUGUCUUCUCUUAUUAGUUUUCAAGCUGCCAACACAGCAGAAAGGUGUAAGAUUAAGCAAACUACGUCAACAUUAUUUCUUCCGAGUAUUGCGGCAAAAACAAAUUGCUUUCAGUAUCACUUGUUGAAUGCAAGUAUUCCAACAUGCUGUGCAAGUAUAAAAUGCUUAUAGUAAUUCAACCGGUUUUCUCACCAAAAGGGUAAUUUUUAAUAUGUAGAGGACGGCAGUCGUUUUUAAUCAACGAUGAAAUAAAUAUGAACGUACAUACGCCUGACUCUCCAUGGUAGUAGGAAAACUAAUAAA